AACGCGAAGAACCUUACCUGGGCUCGAAAUGCAGUGGACCGGGGUGGAAACAUCCCUUCCCCUUAAAAAGGCUGCUGCAUAGGUGCUGCAUGGCUGUCGUCAGCUCGUGUCGUGAGGUGUUGGGUUAAGUCCCGCAACGAGCGCAACCCUUAUUCGUAGUUGCCACCCGCAAGGGGGAACUCUACGAGGACUGCUCCGGAUAACGGAGAGGAAGGUGGGGAUGACGUCAAGUCAGCACGGCCUUUAUGUCCAGGGCUACACACGUGUUACAAUGCGCGGCACAGACUGUUGCGAACCCGCGAGGGGGAGCUAAUCGGAAAAAACCGCGCUCAGUUCGGAUUGCAGUCUGCAACUCGACUGCAUGAAGCUGGAAUCGCUAGUAAUCGCAGAUCAGCACGCUGCGGUGAAUACGUUCCCGGGCCUUGUACACACCGACGCGUA
This 441-nucleotide ribosomal RNA is filed under the name uncultured bacterium. Its description in RNAcentral is "bacterial SSU rRNA". It matches the Rfam family "Bacterial small subunit ribosomal RNA", at positions 958 to 1399 of the family's 1533-position model. The record is from RNAcentral.